UUUUUUAUUCAAAUAACAACGAAAAGUUAAGCAACAGUAAACAUUAUGCUAAGGAACAUAAAAGAAAAUGCUAAAGAAAAGAGUGUGUUCUGCAGUAAAUAGGCUAUUUUCAGUGUUCUGUAGAAAAAUAUGUCGGUCCAGAAAUCCUGGACUGUAGGUUCGGUUAGGAGCUAGAUUUUUCUGUCUCACUGGUAGAUUUGAUUAUUUUGAGAGUAUAAACAUAGUCUAAAAGACAGUUAACAUUGUUACAUUUUAAAGAAAACAUUGCAACAUCGGAUUUUUAAAAACAUAACAUUUGACUCUGUCGAAAUUCCUUUCUGCUAGAAAUAGAUGGUGCCAGAAAAUUCUUGCCCAGCUCUACCUAAUCAACAGGUCAUCCCAACUGGGCAAAUACCAUUCAGCCAGAGGUUUUUCUGAAGACCUCUUUAUUUUGCAAACAUUUAGAUGCAUUCCAAGCACUCGCAGCCCAGAAAGCCAACUGUAUCCCGGGCUGCAUCAAAAGAAGCGUGACCAGCAGGUCGAAGGAGGUGAUCCUGCCCCUCCACUCUGCUCUCGUGAGACCUCACUUGGAGUACUGUGUACAGUUCUGGUGUCCUCAACAUAAGAAGGACGUGGAGCUGCUGGAGCAAGUCCAGAAGAAGCCAUGAAGGUGAUCAGGGAACUGGAGCAGCUCCCUGGUGAAGACAGGCUGAGGGAGCUGGGCUUGUUCAGGCUGGAUAAGAGAAGGCUCCGGGGAGACCAUAGAGCAGCUUCCAGUGUCCGAAGGGGGCUUGGCAAAACUCAGGACGUGUCCGGUUUCGCGGUCAAAAGCACCGUGAAUCGGAGCCCCGUUAACAACAUCUGGUGUCACUCCAGACCGACCGGGAACCGCCCUCGGCCACUGCAGCAGUAAAACCAGGCGGGAUCUCCAUAGAAGGCAACUGUGCCCACCCAAGCCAGGCUCCACUCAGCAGCCCGCCGUCCCCGGGAGCAGCCUGCGGCACAGCGGGACGCCAGCUCAGGCCUCGGCGCCCCGCCGCCGCCCCUCGCGGGCGGUCGGGCUCCCCCAGCA
RNAcentral lists this long non-coding RNA (1051 nucleotides) under Strigops habroptila (Kakapo). RNAcentral describes it as "lncRNA (ENSSHBG00005002146.1)". The record is from RNAcentral. Lineage: Eukaryota; Metazoa; Chordata; Aves; Psittaciformes; Psittacidae.